RNAcentral lists this ribosomal RNA (253 nucleotides) under uncultured bacterium. RNAcentral describes it as "partial 16S ribosomal RNA". It matches the Rfam family "Bacterial small subunit ribosomal RNA", at positions 524 to 776 of the family's 1533-position model. The record is from RNAcentral.
UACGUAGGUGGCAAGCGUUGUCCGGAUUUACUGGGUGUAAAGGGCGUGCAGCCGGGCUGACAAGUCAGAUAUGAAAUCCCGCGGCUCAACCGCGGAACUGCAUUUGAAACUGUCAGUCUUGAGUACCGGAGAGGUCAUCGGAAUUCCUUGUGUAGCGGUGAAAUGCGUAGAUAUAAGGAAGAACACCAGUGGCGAAGGCGGAUGACUGGACGGCAACUGACGGUGAGGCGCGAAAGCGUGGGGAGCAAACAGG